GACGAACGCUGGCGGCGUGCCUAAUACAUGCAAGUAGAACGCUGAAGGAGGAGCUUGCUCUUCUGGAUGAGUUGCGAACGGGUGAGUAACGCGUAGGUAACCUGCCUGGUAGCGGGGGAUAACUAUUGGAAACGAUAGCUAAUACCGCAUAACAGUAGAUGUUGCAUGACAUUUGCUUAAAAGGUGCAAUUGCACCACUACCAGAUGGACCUGCGUUGUAUUAGCUAGUUGGUGGGGUAACGGCUCACCAAGGCGACGAUACAUAGCCGACCUGAGAGGGUGAUCGGCCGCACUGGGACUGAGACACGGCCCAGACUCCUACGGGAGGCAGCAGUAGGGAAUCUUCGGCAAUGGACGGAAGGCUGACCGAGCAACGCCGCGUGAGUGAAGAAGGGUUUCGGAUCGUAAAGCUCUGUUGUAAGAGAAGAACGAGUGUGAGAGUGGAAAGUUCACACUGUGACGGUAUCUUACCAGAAAGGGACGGCUAACUACGUG
RNAcentral lists this ribosomal RNA (495 nucleotides) under uncultured bacterium. Its description in RNAcentral is "partial 16S ribosomal RNA". It matches the Rfam family "Bacterial small subunit ribosomal RNA", at positions 28 to 507 of the family's 1533-position model. The record is from RNAcentral.